Canis lupus familiaris (dog) is the source of this 473-nucleotide long non-coding RNA. RefSeq lists it as uncharacterized. The record is from RefSeq and is a predicted model, not a curated record. The transcript is spliced from 4 exons. NCBI's taxonomy places the organism in Eukaryota, Metazoa, Chordata, Mammalia, Carnivora, Canidae.
GCUCAAGGGCGUAGCUGCCGGGAGGUGUGAACAAGUCAGAGGCCAUCCUGCCACAGCCUGUCGCAGUCGGCGUCCGGGUCCCCUAGAGGUGCUCUCUGACACGGGCAUGGCCGGGUGGACGUGGGCAGACACACAAGUUCUGCAUGGUUUAAUUUGGCGGUCUCUUUUGUAGAUGCCUACCCACCGCCCCCCAUCUUUAAAUGCAGAAAUCCUUUGAGGUUGCAUGACUCAAGAACUGAAAUCCGAGGAUCAUCAUUUGCUCCCCAAAGGUCUUGACCUUGGCGCUCCAAGUCUGUCCCCAAAUAGCUGAAGUUUUGCAAGAAUCCUGCUAAAGUGCAUUUAGAGAGAAUUCUCCACCCUCGAGAGCUGAUCAGGUGUAAGCAGUCCUCGCGGACGUGAGUGUCGGCAACUGCUGUGUCCCACUCCCUCAAGGAUUUAUAACUAAGACUGAUUUAAGAAUCUGAGAUAGAGAC